AGCUUUGCACAGUGGCAGUAUCGUAGCCAAUGAGGUUUAUCCGAGGCGCGAUUAUUGCUAAUUGAAGUUUACACCAUUUAGUAUUCUUGCCUUUGGAUGCAGUAAGGGAGUUGAAGUCUGCUUAUAUGCAGAGUUUUUUUUUAC
Molecule: small nuclear RNA, 144 nt
Organism: Lutra lutra (Eurasian river otter)
Lineage: Eukaryota; Metazoa; Chordata; Mammalia; Carnivora; Mustelidae
Product: U4 spliceosomal RNA
Exons: 1
Source: RefSeq, a predicted model, not a curated record